Molecule: ribosomal RNA, 2298 nt
Filed under: Triticum aestivum (bread wheat)
Lineage: Eukaryota; Viridiplantae; Streptophyta; Magnoliopsida; Poales; Poaceae
Description: partial small subunit ribosomal RNA
Source: RNAcentral
AUGGCCCGCCGUGGCAUGUUUAAUAGCUGGGCCGUGCUGUGCCGGCCCACGGGCGCUGCUCCUUGGCCCAGGCAUGGCCUGAUUAGUAAACGGGCCGGCCCCAUGGCCCGUUUAGCACGCUGGGCUGUACAUUUCAACCUGUUGGGCUGGCGCGUGCCCAUCUACUUUAGCACUAUAAUAUUAGUGAUUGAUGGAAUUGUAUUGAAGGAAUAUGUUGGUGGAGUCCAACCAAGGAACCACCGCAACCUACACCAGCCCUGGUCGGCGAGCCUGAGCGAUGAAGGCACUCCGGCGGACGGUACCUCCGCAUCGCCGAGGAGGAGGACGAAGGUGGCAACGACCAGAUCCUGGACCUCGCCGACUGCGUGGUACGGCCUUGUCCCGUCGGGGCCGGGGUUGCGCGGCCGCCGCCGACGUCGCCAAGCCAACAUCAUCGUUCAGUCCCUCAACGGCUUCUCCUCCACGGUGCACACCUCUGGGAUGGGCCUGAAGGUCAUGCUGAUGAUCAUGCCCUUCUCCGACCUGCGCGCAGUCAACCUCUACGGCAUCGGUAAGCACUGUCACUAUAAGCCAAUCGCUGCCGAAGGGUCUGUACUCGCUGGAUCUGUCGCUGAACAAGAUCAUGUUGAGAGGCUCCGGGAACUGACGAAGUUGUGCGCGCUCAACCUCAGCUACAACCGGAUUUCAUGCAUCGGCCGUGAUAGGUGGGGUAAAGACUACACCUUGGACUGGAACUCAGGGAGGACUGAUGAAAACCCCACAGACGAAGUUCAUAGAGACAUAUUAAUCUGGUCAAAAAUAGUCAGAUCACGUCCAGUAUGUAGGUCUCAUUGGACUAUUCACUUCACUCUUGUAUUGAUUAUUGAAGUUAUCUUCCGGAAUCCUCGAAUGAAAAUAACAGUCCAAGGGGGUCUCAGUCUUACAAACGAGUUGGAGGGAUGUUGUUCAGCUUCACCUUCUUUGAAUAAACUAGUCCAUAUAUCCUGCAGGACGGUGAAGAUGGCAAUUCAUGGGUUCUUAACAGCAAACAAGGGGUCCAAGAUUGUGAAAUUGACAGGUCUUACAGCUGAAGAAAAGAUAUUUACUGCUCCAUAUGUUUUGUUUGUUAUUCUUGCCUAUUCUACUAGGCACUAUGGCUCGUCUAGCAAACAGGCCGGCCCAGCCACCUCACCCAUCCCCUCCUCACGCCACAGAGGACAGGGGAGGGCGUGGCGGCCAUCCGCCGGCCAUGGCCACGCCAGGCCGUGCGUGGCGGCCAUCGGUCGCGCCCCCCCUACAAAACCCCCGGGUCGAACCCUAGUCCUCCCCCACUUCCUCUCCCUCUCGUUCCUCCCUCCAGAUCCACCGCACUCGAGUCGGGAGCUCGUCGCGCCACCACCGUCAGCAUGCUCCGGCGCCACCCCGGGCUGCAGCAGGGCAUCUAGGAGCUCCCUCUUCCUCGCCUACGUCGUCUACCCCUCCCCGUCGAGCCACACGACGCCGAACGGCCCCGUGACGACGCCCCCAUCUACUCUUCCUCGUCGACGUCGCCGUGCCCGUGGACGCCCGAAGCCACCGUGCUUGUCCCCGUCGCCGUCCGCCGUCACCUCGACCACGGCCUCGAGCAGCAGACCGCCUCAACGUCGAGAUCGACGCCGCUCCUCCACGUCGGCCAUCACCUCCGUCCGCUACGAUCGCCGCCAUCUUCCACGGCUCCGGCGCCGCCCUGCAGCUACUAAGCCGUCGAAGGGCCACCUUGUCCCCCGCGGUGAGCCCCGGAUCCUUCCCCCUGUUUCUCCGUCGUCCCCUCGUCGUAGAUGCCAUGUUCGGUCGCCGUUCGAGCCUACGCUCACCUCACCGCGCCCGAGCCCCUGCUUGCCCGCGGCCCCGACCACGCGGUCCGCAUCCACGCCCACAUCGCGCCGCCUCCCGAUCCACCCUGCGCGCGCCCGGGCCGUGCUCAGUGCAUGCGCGCCGAGCCGCCCCUGCCACGGCCUGCGCCUGGUGCCACCCGCCCGCUGCCGUGCUGUCCAUGCCUUGCCGCCGCCGCUACUGCUGCGUUGCUACUGCGUGCAGCCAUUGCUGCUGCUUCCUGCACCACGCCCCACGCGCCCCUGCCGCGCGCAAGCCCUGCCUCGGCCGUCCUCUGUAGGUGCCGCAGCUCGUCUCCGGCGCACACCCACGCCCCGCGUCCGUCCCGCCCUGCGCCCAACACGCGCGGCCGCGUGCACGCCGCUCGCUUCGCUGCUGCUUUCCUGCUCCCGCAGCUGCCUGCUGCUAUGCUACACGGCUAUAGUAACAUUCAGUUACUGUAGCUAG